UUUGAUCAUAAUCCUGCUCAGUAUGAGAAGAACCAAAGGUUCAGACAUUUGGUGUAUGUGCUUGGCUGAGGAGCCAAUGGGGCAAAGAUACCAUCUGUGGGAUUAUGACUGAAUGCCUCUAAGUAAGAAGUCCCCAUAAAUGUAAA
This is a non-coding RNA of Podarcis lilfordi (Lilford's wall lizard), 146 nucleotides long. Lineage: Eukaryota; Metazoa; Chordata; Lepidosauria; Squamata; Lacertidae. The record is from the annotation of a GenBank genome assembly.